GGGGGAUAUUGGACAAUGGACCAAAAGUCUGAUCCAGCAAUUCUGUGUGCACGAUGACGUUUUUCGGAAUGUAAAGUGCUUUCAGUUGGGAAGAAAAAAAUGACGGUACCAACAGAAGAAGUGACGGCUAAAUACGUGCCAGCAGCCGCGGUAAUACGUAUGUCACAAGCGUUAUCCGGAUUUAUUGGGCGUAAAGCGCGUCUAGGUGGUUAUGUAAGUCUGAUGUGAAAAUGCAGGGCUCAACUCUGUAUUGCGUUGGAAACUGUAUGACUAGAGUACUGGAGAGGUAAGCGGAACUACAAGUGUAGAGGUGAAAUUCGUAGAUAUUUGUAGGAAUGCCGAUGGGGAAGCCAGCUUACUGGACAGAUACUGACGCUAAAGCGCGAAAGCGUGGGUAGCAAACAGGAUUAGAUACCCUGGUAGUCCACGCCGUAAACGAUGAUUACUAGGUGUUGGGGGUCGAACCUCAGCGCCCAAGCUAACGCGAUAAGUAAUCCGCCUGGGGAGUACGUACGCAAGUAUG
This 523-nucleotide ribosomal RNA is filed under the name uncultured bacterium. RNAcentral's name for it is "bacterial SSU rRNA". It matches the Rfam family "Bacterial small subunit ribosomal RNA", at positions 356 to 896 of the family's 1533-position model. The record is from RNAcentral.